GACGAACGCUGGCGGCGUGCCUAAUACAUGCAAGUCGAGCGGACUGGCCGGAGUCCUUGCACUCGUGAGAGUUCGCGGCGGGUGGGUAAGAAACAUGUAGGCAACCCUUCCUUUAGUGUGGUAUUUAGACCGGAAAGGAUACCUACGAACAGAUAAUUUAUCACCUCGGAUUACGUGAUAAUGAAAGACGGGGCAGUCUGGUACUUGGGGAUGGGCAUGGGGUGUAUUGGCUAGUUGGGGGGGUAAGGGCCCACCAAGUCGACGAUGCGGAGCCGACCUGGGAGGGGGAUCGGCCACACUGGAACUGAGACACGGCCCAGACUCCUACGGGAGGCAGCAGUAGGGAAUCUUCCGCAAUGGGCGAAAGCCUGACGGAGCAACGCCGCGUGAGUGAUGAAGGUUUUCGGAUCGUAAAGCUCUGUUGCGAGGGAAGAACGGCUCUUAGAGUAACUGCUAUGAGAGUGACGGUACUGGAGAAGAAAGCCCCGGCUAACUACGUG
RNAcentral lists this ribosomal RNA (500 nucleotides) under uncultured bacterium. RNAcentral's name for it is "partial 16S ribosomal RNA". It matches the Rfam family "Bacterial small subunit ribosomal RNA", at positions 28 to 507 of the family's 1533-position model. The record is from RNAcentral.